Molecule: long non-coding RNA, 1972 nt
Filed under: Gallus gallus (chicken)
Lineage: Eukaryota; Metazoa; Chordata; Aves; Galliformes; Phasianidae
Description: lncRNA (ENSGALG00010007150.1)
Source: RNAcentral
AGUGAGGUGCUCGGGCGUUACUAAGCGCAGCGCCUGGGUACCGCCUCAUUGGCGUGUGUGAGGACCUCUGGUCCGUCAGUGGCCUCUGAGGAGGGGCAGGUAGCGAUGGAUGUAGCUUUAGGACAGGAAGAGUUUUAACAGCUCGUACUUAAAAAGCCCUAUUGCUACCUGGAAGCUGGUGGCUUGGUUGGCUUGUUCGGGUGAGAAAAAUGCUGCUUAGCUUAUUUGCUAGUGGGGCAGUGUUAUGUGCUGUGUGAAAACCAAGGGCCAAAAAGGAGCAGUGGAAGGACUGCUUAUUGCUGCUUUACAGACUGGUGGUGCUUGGAUUCUGCUUACUGAUGUUUCACAUCAGAGGGAUUUUUCUCAAUGACACUAUCUGGAAGCAGAGGGGAAAAAACAGACAUUAAGGUCAAGAACAUGUCUACCUUCCAAACCAGAGGUAUUUAAAAGUGUAGAAUGGAGAGGGAGCACGAAGACUUACCCUACCACUUGUCAAGCAUCAGAAACCAUAUAGAGUCAAAUGUGUUUUAGCUGCUGUUGGAGAAAAUGCAUCUAUUAUGCUUUGAAGCUUAAAGAAUGACUCAGCACAACUUCAGUGUAGAAGAUUAGAGAUUGGGAACUUUAGAUUAAACUCAUGGAUCUGCCUCUGACUUAAUCUAAAACCAGAAGAGGAGUUACUUUCCUUCAUAGUGGUGGAUUAACUGGAGAAAGAAAUAAGCUUUUCAAUAAUCUGCUGUUCUGCCUUCACAGUUUUGGACUGCCAUUGUUUUAUAUGUAGUACUUGUGAUCCAAGAGUACUUCUUAUAUUUAUGUUCAGCUGAGAUUGAUUCAGCCUGCAAGGAUCAGUCUGGAAGGUGUUGCUGCUGGCACAAUUGUGUAAGUGGUCCAUAUACAUCCAAGGAACAUCAGUUCCCUUUGGUGAUGUCUUGCACUACUAAUGCACUAGAAAUUACGAGAAAAGUAUUUAAUGGCCACAGAGCAAAAUUGAAUUGGUUUGGGAUGUGAGACAGAUUUUUUUAAAAUAAUUAGUAAAUGCAAAACCCACUAGAAGUUGGUAUUGUUUCUUAAUUAGUCUCAUUGUUGAAAUUAGAUUAAUUUGCAAUACAAAACUCACUUAUGCUCCAGGUUCUGAUGCUAACAAAAACACUUCCUGUAAAAUGUAAGUUCAUUACUGAGCAAAUGAAUGAGGAACAGAAUUAAAAUGAUUUCACAAAUUGAAAUUGUGCCCGAAUGCCAUUAUUACUCAAACCAGUGCUGUCAAAUGGUUUAGUGAGGCUUUUAGGGCAGUGAAGAUCUUAAUUCUGUAUGAUGUCAAAGGCAAAAAACGAUUCCUUCCACCACUGGAAUCACAAUUUAUGUGCUGUUGGAAGAGAAGGUAUUUCCACUCUUCUUUCAAUGGUUGUAACACAUACAGCAAAGAAUAGGAAAGUUUUUUUUUUUAAGAAAAAUCCAAGCUUUUAAGUACGGAAAGACCAUUAAUUGGAGUGAGUUAGUUACAUUCAUGCAAGGAAUAUAUAUCUUGUACCUAGGAGAAUAAUUAUGUGCCUUUGUUAUUGAAGGGCAUAUUCAACACAACAAAUCUCUUCAUUUUCUGCACUACUUGCGUAAGGCUGGAUAAACUGCUGUAGUAUCAGCUGUGUCUUAACUGUGAUGUGACUGUUACUAUAGUACAUGAUAUUAACCUGAAGAACCUUAUGACCGGCUUCAGAGGAUUCUAGCAAUAGUUUGAGAAAGAUUGUCUCUUCUUGACUGUGAAGGUCUGCACUGAUUACUUUUGUGUGGAUGCUAUAAUAUACAAACUAAAUUGGGUUCAAUCCUGCCAGGCCUCGGUCCUCAUUUAGCAAAACAGAACUAAAGCAGAGAACUUAAUUUCUCAGUUUAAGGUCUGGAAAAGUGUUUGCACGCAAUGAAGCUACUUUUGUGGACUUAUAUUUAAUGGAAAUAUUAAUAUACAUUCUAAAGAAAAAUGUGU